GAGCGGCCGAUAUCAGAUUAGCUAGUUGGUGAGGUAAAAGCUCACCAAGGCGACGAUCUGUAGCGGGUCUGAGAGGAUGAUCCGCCACACUGGAACUGAGACACGGUCCAGACUCCUACGGGAGGCAGCAGUGGGGAAUUUUGGACAAUGGGGGCAACCCUGAUCCAGCCAUGCCGCGUGAGUGAAGAAGGCCUUCGGGUUGUAAAGCUCUUUCAGCCGGGAAGAAAAUGCAUGGGUUAAUACCCUGUGCAGAUGACGGUACCGGAAUAAGAAGCACCGGCUAACUACGUGCCAGCAGCCGCGGUAAUACGUAGGGUGCGAGCGUUAAUCGGAAUUACUGGGCGUAAAGCGUGCGCAGGCGGUUUUGUAAGACAGGCGUGAAAUCCCCGGGCUUAACCUGGGAACU
Molecule: ribosomal RNA, 406 nt
Filed under: uncultured bacterium
Lineage: Bacteria
Description: bacterial SSU rRNA
Rfam family: Bacterial small subunit ribosomal RNA
Source: RNAcentral